AGCAGUCGCCACGGGAAUACAGAGGGUGCGAGCGUUAAUCGGAUUUACUGGGCGUAAAGCGUGCGUAGGCGGCUUCUUAAGUCGGAUGUGAAAUCCCUGAGCUUAACUUAGGAAUUGCAUUCGAUACUGGGAAGCUAGAGUAUGGGAGAGGAUGGUAGAAUUCCAGGUGUAGCGGUGAAAUGCGUAGAGAUCUGGAGGAAUACCGAUGGCGAAGGCAGCCAUCUGGCCUAAUACUGACGCUGAGGUACGAAAGCAUGGGGAGCAAACAGGAUUAGAUACCCCGUAGUCCCUGUCUCUUAUACA
This 303-nucleotide ribosomal RNA is filed under the name uncultured bacterium. RNAcentral's name for it is "partial 16S ribosomal RNA". It matches the Rfam family "Bacterial small subunit ribosomal RNA", at positions 507 to 808 of the family's 1533-position model. The record is from RNAcentral.